This 983-nucleotide long non-coding RNA is filed under the name Monodelphis domestica (gray short-tailed opossum). Its description in RNAcentral is "lncRNA (ENSMODG00000051186.1)". The record is from RNAcentral. Lineage: Eukaryota; Metazoa; Chordata; Mammalia; Didelphimorphia; Didelphidae.
AGCACAGGGAACAUGAAGGAGAGUAGCCAGACCUGGAGACAAAGACAGAUCUAAUGAUAAAAAAGACAGGAAGUCAACUAAGAUACAACAUACUGGUGGUUGCCACAAAGGACACUUUUUAAUAUUACUUUUUAUAAACAUAAAUAUUUCUAGUGCCAGAAGAUUAUGCAGUCCAUAGCAUAUGGCUAGUUACUUUGUAGUAAGUUGCAUAUGCUACUAGGAACACUCAUAAUUUUCAGUGGAUAGAACAAAUAGAAGGUUUAAUUUCCAAAUGAAAGAUAUAGUUUUCAAAACUUUCCUAUGUCACACACAUACUUUGUUCUAAUUCUGGUAUAAUACAGGGAUAAAAAAAGCAAAAGCAAGAAAGAGAAAGGAAGAGAGAGAGAGAGAAAGAAAGAAAGAAAGAAAGAAAGAAAGAAAGAAAGAAAGAAAGAAAGAAAGAAAGAAAGAAAGAAAGAAAGAAAGAAAGAAAGAAAGAAAGAAAGAGAGAGAGAGAGAGAGAGAGAGAGAGAGAAAGAAAGAAAGAAAGAAAGAAAGAAAGAAAGAAAGAAAGAAAGAAAGAAAGAAAGAAAGAAAGAAAGAAAGAAAGAAAGAAAGAAAGAAAGAAAGAAAGAAAGAAAGAAAGAAAGAAAGAAAGAAGGAAGGAAGGAAGGAAGGAAGAAAGAAAGAAAGAAAGAAAGAAAGAAAGAAAGAAAGAAAGAAAGAAAGAAAGAAAGAAAGAAAGAAAGAAAGAAAGAAAGAAAGAAAGAAAGAAAGAAAGAAAGAAAGAAAGAAAGAAAGAAAGAAAGAAAGAAAGAAAGAAAGAAAGGAAGGAAGGAAGGAAGGAAGGAAGGAAGGAAGGAAGGAAGGAAGGAAGGAAGGAAGGAAGGAAGGAAGGAAGGAAGGAAGGAAGGAAGGAAGGAAGGAAGAUAGGGUCAACAUGGAAUUUAGGAAUCCCAAACUUUGUACCUAGUGAGAUCUGAUGAACCCCCAUUUUAGAUUUA